This 390-nucleotide ribosomal RNA is filed under the name uncultured bacterium. RNAcentral describes it as "bacterial SSU rRNA". It matches the Rfam family "Bacterial small subunit ribosomal RNA", at positions 28 to 419 of the family's 1533-position model. The record is from RNAcentral.
GACGAACGCUGGCGGCGUGCUUAACACAUGCAAGUCGAGCGGUAAGGCCCUUUCGGGGGUACACGAGCGGCGAACGGGUGAGUAACACGUGGGUGACCUGCCCUCAGCUCUGGGAUAAGCCUGGGAAACCGGGUCUAAUACUGGAUAUGACUCCAUGACGCAUGUUGUGGGGUGGAAAGCCUUGUGCGGCUGAGGAUGGGCCCGCGGCCUAUCAGCUUGUUGGUGGGGUGAUGGCCUACCAAGGCGACGACGGGUAGCCGGCCUGAGAGGGCGAUCGGCCACACUGGGACUGAGACACGGCCCAGACUCCUACGGGAGGCAGCAGUGGGGAAUCUUGCGCAAUGGGCGAAAGCCUGACGCAGCGACGCCGCGUGAGGGAUGACGGCCUGG